Molecule: ribosomal RNA, 273 nt
Filed under: uncultured bacterium
Lineage: Bacteria
Description: partial small subunit ribosomal RNA
Rfam family: Bacterial small subunit ribosomal RNA
Source: RNAcentral
AGAAUCAACGCUGGCGGCGUGCCUCAGACAUGCAAGUCGAACGCGAAAGUUUCCUUCGGGAAGCAAGUAGAGUGGCGCACGGGUGAGUAACACGUAGGUAAUCUACCUUUGGAUGGGGAAUAACAAUCGGAAACGGUUGCUAAUACCGCAUAAUGCAGCGGCACCUAAUGGUGACAGUUGUUAAAGCGGGGGAUCGAAAGACCUCGCGUCUGAAGAGGAGCCUGCGGCGGAUUAGCUAGUUGGUAAGGUAAUGGCUUACCAAGGCUACGAUCC